Molecule: ribosomal RNA, 407 nt
Filed under: uncultured bacterium
Lineage: Bacteria
Description: partial 16S ribosomal RNA
Rfam family: Bacterial small subunit ribosomal RNA
Source: RNAcentral
AUUGAACGCUAGCGGCAUGCCUUACACAUGCAAGUCGAACGGGGUGGCGAACGGGCGAGUAAGUUAUCGGAAGGAGCCUACCAGCGGGGGAUAACUACCUGAAAGCGUAGCUAACACCGCAUACUUUCGGAGCGGCGGACAUCGGAUUGGCUAGUUGGUGGGGUAACGGCCAACCUAGGUGACGAUCCGUAGCUGGGUUGAGAGGAGGACCAGCCACACGGGAACUGAGACACGGUCCAGACUCCUACGGGAGGCAGCAGUGGGGAAUUUUGGACAAUGGGCGCAACCCUGAUGCAGCCAUGCCGCGUGUACGAUGAAGGCCUUCGGGUUGUAAAGCACUUUUAGCGAGGAGGCGGUACCUGCAGAAGAAGCACCGGCUAACUACGUGCCAGCAGCCGCGGUAAUUC